Cyprinus carpio carpio is the source of this 1488-nucleotide long non-coding RNA. The record is from Ensembl. Lineage: Eukaryota; Metazoa; Chordata; Actinopteri; Cypriniformes; Cyprinidae.
CUCUCGUCUAAGUCGCUCCGUAACAGCAUGAUUGUUUCCUAUUUAUUUACACACUUGUAUCAUCAAACUUUUAAACAAAUGCAAUAUCACACUCGUAGUCAUGCGACAUCACUCUAUAUCAGCACGGCAGCGAUUCAGCUGUGGAUGCCUUAUUAUUGAUGAUAAUAGUUAAAAGGUAACUGUAAUUUCAACAGUAAUACUAAUUUGCAACAUUAGCAAUAUUUUUGACUGUCAAUUAAAUGCUAUUUCCAAGAAGUAUCAACAUAUAUUACAUAAUCAUUUUUUUAAAUUUUGAACAUAUAUAAAGGAAUAACUGAGAAUGGGCCACUAACUACAUUUCUGAAAAAUUAUUUUUCAAUAAUUCAAAGGAAUGCAUACAUUUAUUCCACUUACAUCACAUUUACCACACCACAAGACAUUAUUCAUAUGUUUUAUUUCAAGACAUUUGUCAGGUUAUUGUUCCAAUGGCUCUCUUGUGUGUAGAACUAAUUUCUUCUGCUUUGUAUCCCAAGGCUUCAUUGCUAAUUCCAAAAAUGGCAUUUUAGAGCGAGUAUACAGUAUGAAGACAAAUGCAGUUAUCAGAGAGAGAGAGAGAGAUAGUGUGUGUGUGUGUGUGUGUGUGUGUGUGUGUGUGUGUGUGUGUGUGUGUGAAUUACCUGCAUCUGUGCGUCUCUCAACAGUGUCCGACAGCAGCGUCUCUACUAAUAGUGAAAGUGUAAGUUUAUCUGCUUCAAAAACAGCCCUGUUUUUACCUCGCUACUGAGAAAUGUCUUGUAGUUUUUUGGUUGUGAGCUAUUUUUUGAGAACGUCAACUCCAUGUGUGCGAGUGUUUGUCUGUACAGUAUGUAUGUGUGGGAAAGCAGAAUAAAAAAAAAAAAUGCUUUUAUGUAGAUGAUAAUGAAUGUAAUUCAGUGGGAUUUUUUUUCUCCUAUUAGUCAUUUUUUAGCUUGUUCAGUCUCUUUUUGGGUUUUGGUUCAAUUGCUGUUGUGAGGACUCUGAAAUAACUUAAAUAAUUUGAAUUGAUGUGGAUCUGUAAUGUGGGCGUCAGAUCUUCUUCAAAGCUGUAUGUUUACAUAAAAAAUAAUUGCAUACCACAGAACAAUAGAAAUUAUAAUAAAUAUGUUCUAUAGCUGAAAAGAGACAUUGUAUUACAACUCUUCAGCACAAUUGUUUUAAUAAUGACAUAAGAUAUUUUGGUAGACAUAUGAUGUUGACAUCUGAUUCACAGAAAUGAUAUCUGUAGAUGAACAGACAUGAUCUCACCAGGACAGGGUUUGAGUCUAAUGGUCUUCUGUGUGUGACUGACGUGGUUCUUCACGCUGCAGCUGAUGUCUCCAUCAGUUCUCUCAUCCAGAUCAAUGCUGCUGUUUCCAUCCAUCAGUGGAUCUCCAUUCAGAGUCCAGCUGUGGAGGAGAUGAUCCCCCUCAGAGGAGCAGAACACCCUCAUCCCCCCACUGGAGGAGCAGAUGAUUGACACUUCCACUGAGC